Molecule: small nuclear RNA, 164 nt
Filed under: Aotus nancymaae (Ma's night monkey)
Lineage: Eukaryota; Metazoa; Chordata; Mammalia; Primates; Aotidae
Description: U1 spliceosomal RNA (ENSANAG00000016850.1)
Rfam family: U1 spliceosomal RNA
About the family: U1 is a small nuclear RNA (snRNA) component of the spliceosome (involved in pre-mRNA splicing).
Source: Rfam by way of RNAcentral
AUACUUACUUGGCAGGGGAGAUACCAUGAUCACGAAGGUGGCUUUCCCAGGGCGAGGCUUAUCCAUUGCACUCCAGAUGUGCUGACCCCUGCGAUUUCCCCAAAUGUGGGAAACUCGACUGCAUAAUUAGUGGUAGCAGGGAACUGCAUUCACACUUUCCCCUG